RNAcentral lists this ribosomal RNA (241 nucleotides) under uncultured Enterobacter sp. Its description in RNAcentral is "partial 16S ribosomal RNA". It matches the Rfam family "Bacterial small subunit ribosomal RNA", at positions 559 to 797 of the family's 1533-position model. The record is from RNAcentral. Lineage: Bacteria; Pseudomonadati; Pseudomonadota; Gammaproteobacteria; Enterobacterales; Enterobacteriaceae.
CGUAUAGCGCACGCAGAGCGGUCUGUCAAGUCGGAUGUGAAAUCCCCGGGCUCAACCGUGGGAACUGCAUUCGAAACUGGCAGGCUAGAGUCUUGUAGAGGGGGGUAGAAUUCCAGGUGUAGCGGUGAAAUGCGUAGAGAUCUGGAGGAAUACCGGUGGCGAAGGCGGCCCCCUGGACAAAGACUGACGCUCAGGUGCGAAAGCGUGGGGAGCAAACAGGAUUAGAUACCCUGGUAGUCCA